This 445-nucleotide ribosomal RNA is filed under the name uncultured bacterium. RNAcentral's name for it is "partial 16S ribosomal RNA". It matches the Rfam family "Bacterial small subunit ribosomal RNA", at positions 354 to 796 of the family's 1533-position model. The record is from RNAcentral.
GUGAGGAAUAUUGGACAAUGGAUGGAAAUCUGAUCCAGCCAUGCCGCGUGCAGGAAGACGGCCCUAUGGGUUGUAAACUGCUUUUAUACGGGAGCAAUAAGGUCUAUGCAUAGAUUGAUGAGAGUACCGUAUGAAUAAGCAUCGGCUAACUCCGUGCCAGCAGCCGCGGUAAUACGGAGGAUGCGAGCGUUAUCCGGAUUUAUUGGGUUUAAAGGGUGCGUAGGCGGCUUUGUAAGUCAGCGGUGAAAUUUUGCAGCUUAACUGUAAAAGCGCCGUUGAUACUGUGAAGCUAGGAUUUGGUUGCUGUGGGCGGAAUGUGUGGUGUAGCGGUGAAAUGCAUAGAGAUCACACAGAAUAUCGAUUGCGAAGGCAGCUCACAAAGCCAAUAUUGACGCUGAGGCACGAAAGUGUGGGGAUCAAACAGGAUUAGAAACCCGAGUAGUCC